RNAcentral lists this ribosomal RNA (496 nucleotides) under uncultured bacterium. RNAcentral describes it as "partial 16S ribosomal RNA". It matches the Rfam family "Bacterial small subunit ribosomal RNA", at positions 30 to 508 of the family's 1533-position model. The record is from RNAcentral.
AUGAACGCUGGCGGCGUGCCUAAUACAUGCAAGUCGAGCGAACGGACGAGAAGCUUGCUUUUCUGAUGUUAGCGGCGGACGGGUGAGUAACACGUGGAUAACCUACCUAUAAGACUGGGAUAACUUCGGGAAACCGGAGCUAAUACCGGAUAAUAUUUUGAACCGCAUGGUUCAAAAGUGAAAGACGGUCUUGCUGUCACUUAUAGAUGGAUCCGCGCUGCAUUAGCUAGUUGGUAAGGUAACGGCUUACCAAGGCAACGAUGCAUAGCCGACCUGAGAGGGUAGCGGCCCACAGGAGACGUGACACGGGGCCAGGCCCCCGGGGGGAGGCAGAAGUGGGAAUUUUUCGGAAAGGGGGGAAAGCCGGAGGGAGAAGCCCCGGGUGGGGGAGAAAGGUCUUGGAUUGGAAAAACUGUUUGAUGGGGGAGAAAAAUAGGUAAAAGAACUUGGACACUUCUGGAGGGGCCCUAACAAAAAACCCAGGCCAAACUCGGGC